UACGUAGGUCCCGAGCGUUGUCCGGAUUUAUUGGGCGUAAAGCGAGCGCAGGUGGUUUAUUAAGUCUGGUGUAAAAGGCAGUGGCUCAACCAUUGUAUGCAUUGGAAACUGGGAGACUUGAGUGCAGGAGAGGAGAGUGGAAUUCCAUGUGUAGCGGUGAAAUGCGUAGAUAUAUGGAGGAACACCGGUGGCGAAAGCGGCUCUCUGGCCUGUAACUGACACUGAGGCUCGAAAGCGUGGGGAGCAAACAGG
Molecule: ribosomal RNA, 252 nt
Filed under: uncultured bacterium
Lineage: Bacteria
Description: partial 16S ribosomal RNA
Rfam family: Bacterial small subunit ribosomal RNA
Source: RNAcentral